This 275-nucleotide ribosomal RNA is filed under the name uncultured bacterium. RNAcentral describes it as "partial 16S ribosomal RNA". It matches the Rfam family "Bacterial small subunit ribosomal RNA", at positions 1113 to 1388 of the family's 1533-position model. The record is from RNAcentral.
AGUUGCCAUCAUUAAGUUGGGCACUCUAAACAGACUGCCGGUGACAAACCGGAGGAAGGUGGGGAUGACGUCAAGUCAGCAUGCCCCUUACGUCCUGGGCUACACACGUACUACAAUGGGAGUUAAUAGACGGAAGCGAGAUCGCGAGAUGGAGCAAACCCGAGAAACACUCUCUCAGUUCGGAUCGUAGGCUGCAACUCGCCUACGUGAAGUCGGAAUCGCUAGUAAUCGCAGGUCAGCAUACUGCGGUGAAUACGUUCCCGGGCCUUGUACAC